UGGGGAAUAUUGGGCAAUGGGGGCAACCCUGACCCAGCGACGCCGCGUGGGGGAAGACGGCCUUCGGGUUGUAAACCUCUUUUUUAGGGGAGGAAGGAAGUGACGGUACUUUACAAAUAAUUCCCGCCUAACUACGUCCCGGCACCCGCGGUAUUACGUAGGGGCCGGCCUUUGUCCGGAUUUACUGGGGGUAAAGGGCGCCCAGGCUGUGCUGCAAGUCAGCUGUUAAAUGUCUGGGCUUAACCCGGGCAUGCGGUUGAGACUGCAGUGCUGGAGUGCUGUAGAGGCAAGCGGAAUUCCCAGUGUAGCGGUGAAAUGCGUAGAUAUUGGGAAGAACACCGGUGGCGAGGGCGACUUGCUGGGCAGCAACUGACGCUGAGGCGCGAAAGCCAGGGGAGCAAACGG
Molecule: ribosomal RNA, 405 nt
Filed under: uncultured bacterium
Lineage: Bacteria
Description: bacterial SSU rRNA
Rfam family: Bacterial small subunit ribosomal RNA
Source: RNAcentral